Long non-coding RNA from Etheostoma spectabile (orangethroat darter), 102 nucleotides. RefSeq lists it as uncharacterized. The transcript is spliced from 3 exons. The record is from RefSeq and is a predicted model, not a curated record. NCBI's taxonomy places the organism in Eukaryota, Metazoa, Chordata, Actinopteri, Perciformes, Percidae.
AGAUGAAUGGAGUGAAGUAAAAAGUCCAAUACUUUCCUCUGAAAUCUAGCGGAUUAGAAGUAGAAAGUGGCAUGAAAAGUACAAGUACCUCAACAUUUGUAC